GACGAACGCUGGCGGCGUGCCUAAUACAUGCAAGUCGAGCGGACUGAAUGGGAGCUUGCUCUUGUUCGGUCAGCGGCGGACGGGUGAGUAACACGUGGGCAACCUGCCCGCAAGACCGGGAUAACUCCGGGAAACCGGAGCUAAUACCGGAUAACACCGAAGACCGCAUGGUCUUUGGUUGAAAGGCGGCGCAAGCUGCCACUUGCGGAUGGGCCCGCGGCGCAUUAGCUAGUUGGUGAGGUAACGGCUCACCAAGGCGACGAUGCGUAGCCGGCCUGAGAGGGUUACCGGCCACACUGGGACUGAGACACGGCCCAGACUCCUACGGGAGGCAGCAGUAGGGAAUCUUCCGCAAUGGGCGAAAGCCUGACGGAGCGACGCCGCGUGAGCGAAGAAGGCCUUCGGGUCGUAAAGCUCUGUUGUGAGGGACGAAGGAGCGCCGUUUGAAGAAGGCGGCGCGGUGACGGUACCUCACGAGGAAGCCCCGGCUAACUACGUG
This 499-nucleotide ribosomal RNA is filed under the name uncultured bacterium. RNAcentral's name for it is "partial 16S ribosomal RNA". It matches the Rfam family "Bacterial small subunit ribosomal RNA", at positions 28 to 507 of the family's 1533-position model. The record is from RNAcentral.